CCUAUAUGGUGACCUGGUGGCUGACCAUGUGCCUCCAUCAUUUUGGGAUGUGAACUGAUAGGAAUAAGAUGAUUCCAAAAGACCAGGACCAAGAGAAUCUGCAUCAGAUGGUUAUUUACCCUACUGCAAUCUGUCGCUCUACCAACACUGAACACUCAGGAUAUUGUUUAACAAGUUCAGACAAAGGAUGUAGGCAACACCAAUCAGACUAGACAAAGGAGUUCAGGUUAGAGACACAUGGUACAUGGAAGGAAGCUGUGCACAGAAC
Jaculus jaculus (lesser Egyptian jerboa) is the source of this 268-nucleotide long non-coding RNA. RefSeq lists it as uncharacterized. The record is from RefSeq and is a predicted model, not a curated record. NCBI's taxonomy places the organism in Eukaryota, Metazoa, Chordata, Mammalia, Rodentia, Dipodidae. The transcript is spliced from 3 exons.